GAUGAACGCUGGCGGCGUGCCUAAUACAUGCAAGUCGAGCGAACAGACGAGGAGCUUGCUCCACUGACGUUAGCGGCGCAAGGGUGAGCAACACGUGGAUAACCUACCUAUACGACUGGGAUAACUUCGGGAAACCGGAGCUAAUACCGGACAAUAUAUUGAACAGCAUGGUCCCUUAGUGAAAGACGGUCUUGCUGUCCCUUAUAGAUGGAUCCGCGCCGCAUUAGCUAGUUGGUAAGGUAACGGCUGACCAAGGCAACGAUGGGUAGCCGACCUGAGAGGGAGAUCGGCCACACAGGAACUGAGACACGGCCCAGACUCCUACGGGAGGCAGGAGUAGGGAAUCUUCCGCAAUUGGCGAAAGCCUGACGGAGCAACGCCGGGUGAGUGAUGAAGGUCUUCGGAUCGUAAAACGAUGUUAUUGGGGAGGAACAGAUGUGUAAGUAACGAUGCACGUCUGAACGUUACCUAGUCAGAAGGCCGCGCCGAACUGGGG
This 496-nucleotide ribosomal RNA is filed under the name uncultured bacterium. Its description in RNAcentral is "partial 16S ribosomal RNA". It matches the Rfam family "Bacterial small subunit ribosomal RNA", at positions 28 to 506 of the family's 1533-position model. The record is from RNAcentral.